RNAcentral lists this ribosomal RNA (208 nucleotides) under uncultured bacterium. Its description in RNAcentral is "partial 16S ribosomal RNA". It matches the Rfam family "Bacterial small subunit ribosomal RNA", at positions 1285 to 1500 of the family's 1533-position model. The record is from RNAcentral.
GUCUCAGUUCGGAUUGGAGUCUGCAACCCGACUCCAUGAAGCUGGAUUCGCUAGUAAUCGCGCAUCAGCCACGGCGCGGUGAAUACGUUCCCGGGCCUUGUACACACCGCCCGUCAAGCCAUGGAAGCCGGGAGUGCCUGAAGUACGCGACCGCAAGGAGCGUCCUAAGGUAAAACCGGUGACUGGGGCUAAGUCGUAACAAGGUAGC